UGCCAGCCGCCGCGGUAAUACGGAGGGUGCAAGCGUUAAUCGGAAUUACUGGGCGUAAAGGGCGCGUAGGUGGCUAGGUCAGUCGGGUGUGAAAGCCCCGAGCUCAACUCGGGAAUUGCAUUCGAUACUGCCUGGCUAGAGUGUGGUAGAGGGAAGCGGAAUUCCGGGUGUAGCGGUGAAAUGCGUAGAUAUCCGGAGGAACACCGAUGGCGAAGGCAUCUCUCUGGGCCGAUAUUGACGCUGAGGCGCGAAGGCGUGGGUAGCAAACGGGAUUAGAUA
Molecule: ribosomal RNA, 279 nt
Filed under: uncultured bacterium
Lineage: Bacteria
Description: partial 16S ribosomal RNA
Rfam family: Bacterial small subunit ribosomal RNA
Source: RNAcentral